UGAAGACAGAAGAUGUUGCGGAGAACCAGUCGUAGCAUACGAUUUGUUGGGAGACUCGUUUGUUCGAGAUGGAUUGCGAGUGAUGUUCGGAAGGUGGUGUGUGCUUUCACAUUGACCAAGGGCUCAGCACAUUUAAGACUGAAAGAUUUUGUCAAGUUAAAUAGGAAGUUUCCACUAACAGGAAGAUUGGAAGCAGAAGGAAAUACUUUUAAUCUAAUUGGCAAAUGAACCAGCUUAUACCCUGCAGACCUGGAAUGAGUCUCGCCACCCUUCUCUGAAUGCUCUCCAGUGCCCACACAUCCGUCACAAAAUAUGGAGACCAAAAUUUUACAGUACUCAAGGUGUGGCCUCACAAGCACGUUGUACAGCUUAAUGAGAAUGCCUUUAGACUUGAACUCCACUGAGCAAAUCAUAUAGCACAACAUUCUAUGAGCCGAUGCGUUUGCAAAAGAAAGGGAAACAGAAGAUGAAUCCCCAGUCACUUUGGAUUCAAUCAAUGGCUUCCUUUAACGGCAAAAAUCGGAAUUUUCUGAGGAGUUUCAACGGCAAAUUAGAUACAAUUCAACAAACUUUAUCUGAGCAUGAGAACCGAAUUCAGGAAAAUGUUGUGAAGCUGACGACACUUGAAGAGGACGUUGAAGAUACAAUUAAACUCUGCAAAGAGUUAUAUUUUUAUCCAAUGAUAAAAUGCUGAAAAGGAUCAUCAGUCUCGAAAAUAGAAACAGGAGAAAUUACUUGUGAAUUCUGGGUCCUGAAGAAUCAAUUGAAGGCGCUGACCCUACAAAGUUUUUUGCAAACUUUCUGAAGCAACUUUUCCCUGCUUUAUUCACUUCCAAGCCGAAGCUCGAUCGAGCUUAUCGCUCUCUGACUUUGAAGCCAUUGUCCUCAGCAGCGAAACCCAGAUCGGUCAUACUAAGCUUUCAUGUAUUUCAUAUUAAGGACCUUUUAAUUCGCCAUACCCGGUGACAAGGAAUGAUCGAUUUCCAAAACUACAAGGUUAGAUUUGUGGAAGACUAUUUGCCUGAAGUUAUGGCUGAUUGCAUGAAAUAAAAAGAAGUUAUGUCGGAAUUUUACAAUAAAGGAUAUAAACUAUCCCUUCGGUUCCCCGCCCGCCUGAGUAUUGUUUUGAAGAACAGAUUGUGAAAAAGAAUAAGGUCGGUUGAAGAUGCAAAAGAGUUUCUGAAGGAUGAAGUCUAAAACUGUUAUAUUUCUUAUUUGAUCAAGUUUUUUCUUCUGUUAAUAUGAAUUUGAAAUAAGGUUUCAUUAAGCUUGCAUUUUGGCUGUUUAUAUAUUGUCUUUUGGUUUUUUUUUGAUACUACUUUAUUUUAUCCCUUUUUGAGGCAUUAUUUUAAUACAGCUUUCUUUGAAUUUGUUUAAACUGAUCCUUUCAUAUUUUCGAAUACUGAGUUACUUUUUUUUUGUGUUGUGUCUUGGUAGGGACAUAAUGACCUUGCAGGACUGGAG
This is a long non-coding RNA of Mobula hypostoma (lesser devil ray), 1464 nucleotides long. RefSeq lists it as uncharacterized. The record is from RefSeq and is a predicted model, not a curated record. The transcript has 3 exons. Lineage: Eukaryota; Metazoa; Chordata; Chondrichthyes; Myliobatiformes; Myliobatidae.